UACGUAGGCGGACUAAUAAGUCAGUGGUGAAAUCUCUCGGCUCAACCGGGAAACUGCCAUUGAUACUGUUAGUCUUGAGUUCGGUUGAGGUAGGCGGAAUGUGUAAUGUAGCGGUGAAAUGCUUAGAUAUUACACAGAACACCAAUUGCGUAGGCAGCUUACUAGACCGACACUGACGCUGAGGCACGAAAGCGUGGGUGGCGAACAGGAUUAGAUACCCUGGUAGUCC
This 229-nucleotide ribosomal RNA is filed under the name uncultured bacterium. RNAcentral describes it as "partial 16S ribosomal RNA". It matches the Rfam family "Bacterial small subunit ribosomal RNA", at positions 568 to 796 of the family's 1533-position model. The record is from RNAcentral.